UAGAGAGAAAAUCACUUUCCAGUACUUCAAGAAGCUGUUUGCUCAAGUUACAAACCCUCCCAUUGAUCCUAUCAGGGAGAAAAUUGUGUCAUCCAUAGAGUGCAUGAUUGGUCCUGGAGGUGAUCUCACAGAAAUGAGUGAGGAGCAGUGUCAUCGUCUCUCACUGAUGGGGCCUAUUUUAUCCAUUAAAAAGAUUGAAUUAAGAGGUUGGCGUAGCAACGUAAUUCAUAUCACUUAUCCCAAGACCCUGGGCAGGAAAGGCUUGGAGCAAACGUUGGACAGGAUCUGUGCUGAAGCUAGGGAUACAAUAAAGGUUACACAGUUUUGGUGCUUUUUGACAACUUUCGCGCCAAGUGUAGUUGCAGUGAGCUCUCUAUUGCGUGUACGACGAAGAACCCUUUGAUAAUAUCAUCAUAUCACAUUGUCUGGUUCUCCAAUGUGUGCUUCUGAUAUAGUGAUGAUGCUAUUGCUGCACUCCUUGAAAGUUCUGGAGAAUCUUUGGA
Molecule: long non-coding RNA, 503 nt
Organism: Spinacia oleracea (spinach)
Lineage: Eukaryota; Viridiplantae; Streptophyta; Magnoliopsida; Caryophyllales; Amaranthaceae
Exons: 3
Source: RefSeq, a predicted model, not a curated record